Molecule: ribosomal RNA, 593 nt
Filed under: Hanseniaspora uvarum
Lineage: Eukaryota; Fungi; Ascomycota; Saccharomycetes; Saccharomycodales; Saccharomycodaceae
Description: eukaryotic LSU rRNA
Rfam family: Eukaryotic large subunit ribosomal RNA
Source: RNAcentral
AGCGGAGGAAAAGAAACCAACUGGGAUUACCUUAGUAACGGCGAGUGAGCGGUAAAAGCUCAAAUUUGAAAUCUGGUACUUUCAGUGCCCGAGUUGUAAUUUGUAGAAUUUGUCUUUGAUUAGGUCCUUGUCUAUGUUCCUUGGAACAGGACGUCAUAGAGGGUGAGAAUCCCGUUUGGCGAGGAUACCUUUUCUCUGUAAGACUUUUUCGAAGAGUCGAGUUGUUUGGGAAUGCAGCUCAAAGUGGGUGGUAAAUUCCAUCUAAAGCUAAAUAUUGGCGAGAGACCGAUAGCGAACAAGUACAGUGAUGGAAAGAUGAAAAGAACUUUGAAAAGAGAGUGAAAAAGUACGUGAAAUUGUUGAAAGGGAAGGGCAUUUGAUCAGACAUGGUGUUUUUUGCAUGCACUCGCCUCUCGUGGGCUUGGGCCUCUCAAAAAUUUCACUGGGCCAACAUCAAUUCUGGCAGCAGGAUAAAUCAUUAAGAAUGUAGCUACUUCGGUAGUGUUAUAGCUUUUUGGAAUACUGUUAGCCGGGAUUGAGGACUGCGCUUCGGCAAGGAUGUUGGCAUAAUGGUUAAAUGCCGCCCGUCUUGA